Non-coding RNA from Sinocyclocheilus grahami, 1162 nucleotides. The record is from the annotation of a RefSeq genome assembly. NCBI's taxonomy places the organism in Eukaryota, Metazoa, Chordata, Actinopteri, Cypriniformes, Cyprinidae.
UGGGAUCCUAAGAAACCGUACAAAUGCGAAGCUUCAAAUUCUGAAGGCACAAAACAAUCCCCUGUUGCUCCACGGAGUCCAAGAAAUCCAACCCUGAGCUUGGUUCCUGUAACAACCCUAAAAAGUCAAUCUGUCAUGUGUAUUAUUGAAGAUUUCUACCCCCAAGACAAUCUCAUGGUACAAUGGAAAAUAAAUGAUACAAACAGCAUGAGCCAGCUAAAACUGGAAAGUAAACUUAAUGCGCAGGGUUAUUAUAAAGGAUACAGUUUUUAUGGAGUCAGCAGUGAGAAUUGGGAUGUGAAUACUCAGUAUACCUGUGAGGUCACACACCAGGGAAAACCGUUUCAUACGAAGGCAAACUUCAAAACUAAAUUGUCACUGACAGUGAAGCCACCAAUUCAGAAAGAACUUUUUGUUAAUGAUAAAAUUGUCUUGCAAGCUGUUGUUUCUGGAGAUGUAAGAAAUACAGUGGAAGACACUUCAGUAUCAUGUAAAGUGACGGAAGAACCUGUGCCCAAUGAGAAUAUCACAAAAGGAAAUGUUGAAUUUGACACUUCACAAUUUAUAAGAAUUCACUAUGUCACCGUUAGUACAAAGAAAUGGUUUGAUGGUUUGAUGGUCACCUGCAUCAUCAGUGACAUAAAUAACAGAGACGUCAAGCAGACGAUCCAUUUUCAAAAAGGAGAUGAAAAGAAACCAAAUGUUACCAUUUAUAAACCCGAUAAUUACGACACAGAUCAUGUCUCUCUGGUGUGUGAGGUCACCAGUCCUAAACUCAGCGAUGUCUAUAUCAUGUGGAGAGUGGGUAAACAGCCUUACAGAGAGGGCACAACCAGUGCUCCCAUCCAUCAAAAGCACUCCACGUCUGUUCUCAGCAUCCUAACAAUGACAAAAGAAGAGUAUAAAAAGCUCAGCACCACCAUCAGCUGCGCAGUCAAACAUGCCAACAUGGACAAAAGAAGUGUUCCAUUAGAAGUUUCAACAAGCCAAAGUAAACAGCCAGAACAUUCAUGUGAUUAAUGUGCAAGCAUUUCCAAACUAUCAUUGUUCAUCUGUUGUUCAGUGUUCCAGUGCUUUUGUCCUGUUGCUGUCUCGUCAGAUUAUGUACAGUAUCUUUGAUGUUUUUUGUGCAUAUUUCUGUCUGUAUGUCUGUAUCACUUUA